This 467-nucleotide ribosomal RNA is filed under the name uncultured bacterium. Its description in RNAcentral is "partial 16S ribosomal RNA". It matches the Rfam family "Bacterial small subunit ribosomal RNA", at positions 28 to 506 of the family's 1533-position model. The record is from RNAcentral.
GACGAACGCUGGCGGCGUGCUUAACACAUGCAAGCCGAACGGAAAGGCCCUGCUUUUGUGGGGUGCUCGAGUGGCGAACGGGUGAGUAACACGUGAGUAACCUGCCCUUGACUUUGGGAUAACUUCAGGAAACUGGGGCUAAUACCGGAUAGGAGCUCCUGCUGCAUGGUGGGGGUUGGAAAGUUUCGGCGGUUGGGGAUGGACUCGCGGCUUAUCAGCUUGUUGGUGGGGUAGUGGCUUACCAAGGCUUUGACGGGUAGCCGGCCUGAGAGGGUGACCGGCCACAUUGGGACUGAGAUACGGCCCAGACUCCUACGGGAGGCAGCAGUGGGGAAUAUUGCACAAUGGGCGGAAGCCUGAUGCAGCAACGCCGCGUGCGGGAUGACGGCCUUCGGGUUGUAAACCGCUUUCGCCUGUGACGAAGCGUGAGUGACGGUAAUGGGUAAAGAAGCACCGGCUAACUACGU